Molecule: transfer RNA, 73 nt
Filed under: Ixodes scapularis (black-legged tick)
Lineage: Eukaryota; Metazoa; Arthropoda; Arachnida; Ixodida; Ixodidae
Rfam family: tRNA
About the family: Transfer RNA (tRNA) molecules are approximately 80 nucleotides in length. Their secondary structure includes four short double-helical elements and three loops (D, anti-codon, and T loops).
Source: Rfam by way of RNAcentral
ACCUGGUUAGCUCAGUUGGUAGAGCGCUCCACCUGUAAUGGAGAGGUCCCGGGUUCGACAGCCGGACCAGGCG